AAGAAUGGUGGCGAUGAUGCACUAUCAGUUGGUUUGGCUGUGUCAAAAAAAGCUAUCGAAGAAAAACUAUUGUGGUUGCCGCGCAUGCGUCCGUUCGGUCCUUGGUGUGCUGUGUGAAAGCUGGAGAGCUAUGGCGGCGUGCCGGGGAUCCUCUUCAAAAUGGUUUUUCACCCGGGAGCAAAUCGAAGCCACGCCGUCCCGCCGUUCGGGAGUGGAUCCGGACAAGGAGCUAUCUUACCGACAGCAGGCGGCUAACCUCAUUCAAGAUAUGGGCCAGAGACUCAACGUCUCACAACUUACAAUAAAUACAGCAAUUGUUUACAUGCAUAGAUUUUAUAUGUUCCACUCUUUCACCAAAUUCCACAGAAAUAUAAUUUCUCCAACCACCUUAUUCCUAGCUGCGAAAGUUGAAGAGCAACCUCGGAAACUUGAGCAUGUUAUUAAAGUUGCCCAUGCUUGUCUAAACCCUCAAGAGACCCCGCUUGAUACAAAGAGUAAUGCAUACCUCCAGCAAGCUCAAGAGCUGGUGAUACUUGAAACCAUAGUGCUGCAGACUUUAGGAUUUGAAAUAACUAUUGAACAUCCACACACUGAUGUGGUGAAAUGUUCCCAGCUAGUGAGAGCAAGCAAGGAUCUGGCACAGACUUCCUAUUUCAUGGCUACCAACAGGUUGUUAUCCUGACCCUCCUUUGUUGCACUGUGACUACUGCACACUAUAGCUUCCUUUAAUGCAGGGUACCCUUUCAGUGUCCAACGGCCCUCUAUGCGCCGGUGGCUACUGGGACGCCAGCCCCCUCCUUGCCCCCCCCCCGGGUUGGGGGCAUUUGGCGGUACCGGCCCCGGUUGCAGUGCGGUGUAUUGUACAAGGGACCAGAGUUGGCACAGUGGGGUUGAAUGCACAAUGUGAAGUGUAGUGGUGCGCUAGAACCUCACGUUUGCUCGGUUACAAAAGUGCAUAUGUCUAAAAAGACACUUUGGUAGCCUGAAUAGCAGCUAAAGAUUACACAGAUGUAAACAUAACGUAGAAGUCAUCCCGCCUCCACCUCACAACCUUCUGCCUGCAACACAAGCCCACAGUAAUCGCCUGCGUCUGCAUCCACCUGGCCUGUAAAUGGUCCAACUGGGAGAUCCCUGUCUCCACUGACGGGAAACACUGGUGGGAGUACGUGGACAACUCUGUCACACUGGAGCUUCUCGAUGAACUGACGCACGAGUUCCUUCAGAUUCUGGAGAAGACACCGAGCAGGUUGAAGAGGAUACGAAAUUGGAGGACCACGCAAGCUGCCAAGAAGACCAAGGGGGAUGGCUCUCAGGCAAACGACCCCUACCCAGGACCCUCCCUGAUCCACGAACAUUCCCUGGGAGAUGCCAUCCCUGGGGUCUCCAACUCAGCCUUCUCCAAAGCCGCUUCAUCGUUCCCUGUCCCUCUGCCAGGGCACGCCAGUGGGCCCCUCUCCCUGGACUCUAUCGCGUCCAUGCAGGGCAGCUCCUACACCUUCACAGCCCCCAGUGACUGGCCCCAGGAUACAGGGGGUCGCUUGGAGGGAGGAAGCUAUUCCCUCAAAACAGAUGCACUUGGCCUACAGCAGGGUGCUCCAAUGAACCCGAACAGACCCGAUAAGACAGGAGAGUUCAACCCUACUAAACAUGAACACAAGGUCGGGUCAGGGGGGGGUGUGGGGAAGCAACAGCAGCCAAUUUUCCCUCCACCGCCCCCGCCGGCUCAGAAAAUGUCCCUGGACAAGUAUAGAGAGAAGCACGCUGCUGAGCUGGCGGUGCAGCAUAAACGCAGGGCAGAGCAGCAGAGUUUCGAGCCUGAGGGCAGGGACUCAUAUAUACCCUCUGUCCAAUCAGACCACAGGAAACACAUGCAGCUCCACCCUAACCCUGGGAGCAGUAGCACCACUGCCUCCCCUCUUAAAAUGAAGCUCGCCACGCCAGGCCAGGACAAGGUCCCCUCUGACAAACGGGACAAGGGGGGCUCACUCAAACUCCGCCUUCCAGUUCCUUCUCAGGGGGGCUUGGCCAGCAAAGAGGAGCUGAAGAUGAAAAUCAAGGUGUCCUCGGAGCGCCACAGCUCUUCUGAUGAGGGCGGGGCCAAGAGCAAACAUUCCAGCCCGCUAGUGAGCAAGGAGAAGCACCGAGAACACUCAACCCACCGCCACCACCACAAGCAGCACGGCCACUCUCACCUUCAUGCAGCACAGCACAGUGGCAACGGCCGAGGGGUCCCCGAGGGGCCAACGGGGGCCGGGCCAGCCGUCCUCCGGAGACCCCUAGGGCUGGGGGGUGUUGAGGGGGUGGCGGGCAUGGCCCCUAGCUCUGGUUCCAGCUCAUCCCGCAAGAGGGGGCACCCACACGUCGCAAGCCACAACCACCACUCCUCCAAAACGAGCAAAAGCUCCAAGGGCGGCGCAGGUGGGCUACGAACAUCUCAACGCCCAAGUGAAACUGGACAAGAAGCCAGUGGAGAGCCGCAGUCUUGAGGGAGCCGGCCGGGCGUUUGCUACCAACGGGCAGACUACAAACACUUCUGACAUGCUCGAUUCUCUCAAGUGCCCAAGGAAUUAACUCAUGAACCCUUUGUAGCAAAGCAUAGGAAGGUAAAGUAAACAAUAUAACGGAAAGUGUAGGACAUCUCAACGUUUGAGGCAAAAAGAGAGAAAUGAAUGCUUCCUGAUCAUCUGAUCUUUUGGCAGUGCUGGUAUAGUCCUGCCCCUUUCAAUGUGUAAUUGCUGCUUUGUCCUCUAUAUUCUCAGGAUGGGUCAUGGAAUGCGGACGUGUGUGAGUGUUAGGGGUCAUCCGAGUUUAAAUCUCCAUGUUCGGAGGGGGAAAAAGUAUAAAUACUGAAAAGGCACGAAAGGUGCAAUUUCUAACAGUCUCUUUUAAAUAAUAAUUUAAACAGCAUUGCCAUAGCUGUUAUCCAUUCUGGUGAGAAAACAUGUCAAGUAGCCCUCCGUUGUGGCAGGAGGGGGCUUAGCUCAGACAGAAGUAAAGGCAGGCCAAACAUGGCUGCCAAUGGAAGUUGGAUUUUUAGUUGUUUAUUUCUCUUGAAUGAUUUUUUCCUUUUUAUGCUGAAUACUGUAUGUAGGAUCUGCAUGCAAUCAUCAAAGGGAUAAUGCAGAAAGCUGACCGCUGUUUACAGAAAGUAAAGAUAAAUGUACAUACAUUUUUGUAUGUUUAAAAAGCUAUACCAUAAAUACUCAGGUUUGGAGCUGCUUGUAACUAUAACAAGAUAUAUAUAUUGGGAAAAAAUACUAUUGUAACUUGAUGUAGGAGUCCUAUCAUCGGUGAUUCUGACUGACGCAUUCCUGUGUUGUGCUUAGAGCCUGUACUACACAUGGCUGGCUGCCAGGAGAUGGCACUUGAACUUCGACCUUUCCAACUCAGCCAAUCCAGACCCUACAAACAGUAACAACCACCUGGCAUGUUGUCAGAGGCCAUGCAAUUUGUACACUUCUUCUUUUUUUUUUGACUUCCAAGAUUACCUUAAGCUGGAUGCCAAAGGCUUUGCCUCACACAAACAAACUAAAGACAAACAUGAGAAGAGGACAAUAAUAAUAGUGCUAUAACGUUUACAUGCCUAACCUUUGCUGUGAAGAGCAUUUACACAAAAUUGUUACUUGGCUUGACGCUGUAGCCCAUAGAUACAAAGCUGUAGGUAAGUAAUGUAGUAUUGUUUAUGUCUGGUGAAAGAAAACAACAGCAUAAAAGUAGCCUGGGUGCCAGUCUUUCUGCUCUCUUGCCAACUCCUUAUGUAAUUGAUAUGGCUUGACAAUGGAGUAGGCAAGAGCACCAACUGAUCUGGGACCAGGCUAGCAGUUAAGGCUUUCAGUGUUGAUACAGUACGGUGGCUUGUAUGCUGUUCUCCAACGGGUCAGUUUCCUAAUAUAUAUGGAGUAUAUCGUUCUCAAUUCUGGACACACAAUAGUAACUGUUCUUUGACUGGUUAGUCCUUUAUUUCAGUGUGCAGAGAGUUUGUAUUGAGGCCAAGAUGGUAUAUUUCCCCAGUACUGAUAGUGAUUAUACUCUUGGGCACAGACAUUAUUACAGUGGUUUGGUCUCAACAAGAAGGCAAAUGCAAACCUUGACAUCCAUUUUUGGGUUUUUUUGUUCUACAAAUAAAUCUUACGGUUACCACUACCUUAAAACAUUA
Molecule: RNA transcript, 4156 nt
Organism: Oncorhynchus kisutch (coho salmon)
Lineage: Eukaryota; Metazoa; Chordata; Actinopteri; Salmoniformes; Salmonidae
Gene name: cyclin-T2
Exons: 10
Source: RefSeq, a predicted model, not a curated record